This 465-nucleotide ribosomal RNA is filed under the name uncultured bacterium. RNAcentral describes it as "bacterial SSU rRNA". It matches the Rfam family "Bacterial small subunit ribosomal RNA", at positions 29 to 506 of the family's 1533-position model. The record is from RNAcentral.
AUUAACGCUGGCGGUGUGCAUAAUACAUGCAAGUCGUGCGCCCGGCACCCUGUUUUCAACUGGAGGUUGAAGAUAGAGUGCCGGGAGCGGCGGACGGGUGAGUAAUACGUUGGUAACUACCCCAGAGUCAGGGAUAACCUCUAGAAAUAGGGGCUAAUACCGGAUUGUCCCGAAAGGGUAAAGCAGCAAUGCGCUUUGGGAGGUGCCUGCGUCCUAUCAGUUAGUUGGUGAGGUAACGGCUCACCAAGACUAUGACGGGUAGCUGGUCUGAGAGGAUGAUCAGCCACAAUGGAACUGAGACACGGUCCAUACUCCUACGGGAGGCAGCAGUAAGGAAUCUUCCGCAAUGGGCGAAAGCCUGACGGAGCAACACCGCGUGGAGGAUGAAGGCGUUUUCGUCGUAAACUCCUUUUCUGAGGGAAUAAUUCUGAAGGUACCUCAGGAAUAAGCAUCGGCUAACUACGU